This 348-nucleotide ribosomal RNA is filed under the name Amastigomonas sp. IVY8c. RNAcentral's name for it is "SSU rRNA". It matches the Rfam family "Eukaryotic small subunit ribosomal RNA", at positions 594 to 945 of the family's 1831-position model. The record is from RNAcentral. Lineage: Eukaryota; Apusomonadida; Apusomonadidae.
AUAGCGUAUGAUAAACUUGUUGCGGUUAAAAAGCUCGUAGUUGGAUUUUGGGAUCUAUGCCGUUGGUCCGAUGUAAAUCGCGUACUGACAGCUGGGUUCUUCUGUCUGGAGACUGACCUAGCGCUCUUCACUGGGUGUUAGGCGGGAUCUAGGACCUUUACUUUGAACAAAUUAGAGUGUUUAAAGCAGGCUUAUGCCUUGAAUACAUUAGCAUGGAAUAAUCGAAUAGGACUUUGGUUCUAUUUUGUUGGUUUAAGAGCCGAAGUAAUGAUUAAUAGGGACAGUUGGGGGCAUUAAUAUUUAAUUGUCAGAGGUGAAAUUCUUAGAUUUAUGAAAGAUUAACUACUG